RNAcentral lists this transfer RNA (84 nucleotides) under Chloroflexota bacterium. RNAcentral's name for it is "Chloroflexi bacterium tRNA-Leu". It matches the Rfam family "tRNA". From Rfam's summary of the family: Transfer RNA (tRNA) molecules are approximately 80 nucleotides in length. Lineage: Bacteria; Bacillati; Chloroflexota. RNAcentral also lists the same sequence under 2 other names. The record is from RNAcentral.
GCCGAAGUGGCGGAAUGGCAGACGCGGUCGACUCAAAAUCGGCUGGGGAAACCCGUGUGGGUUCGACUCCCACCUUCGGCACCA